UGGGGUGUAAUUCAGCGGUAGAAUGACCGACUGUUAAUCGGUUCGUCGCAGGUUCGAGCCCUGCUGCCCCAGCCA
RNAcentral lists this transfer RNA (75 nucleotides) under Acidithiobacillus thiooxidans ATCC 19377. Its description in RNAcentral is "tRNA-Asn". It matches the Rfam family "tRNA". From Rfam's summary of the family: Transfer RNA (tRNA) molecules are approximately 80 nucleotides in length. Their secondary structure includes four short double-helical elements and three loops (D, anti-codon, and T loops). Lineage: Bacteria; Pseudomonadati; Pseudomonadota; Acidithiobacillia; Acidithiobacillales; Acidithiobacillaceae. The record is from RNAcentral.